UGGACGCUGACACUUUGUCACGCCUUCCGUUGGACAUUGAUAGCUAUGUCGGGGAGUGUACAGAGGAGCUUAGCCGAGACAUUGUUUGUGCAACAUGGGAGGGGAGUGAGGUGGCAAAGAAAAGUGAUGUUGCCUAUGUAGCUAUUUUAAAUCUGGCUCAGGACACUAGGUCGGACACACCAGCCUUACCUAGCAUUAGCCACGAGGAGCUAGUAAGAGCACAAAGACAAGACACAACAAUAAAAGAACUUCUCAGAUUAAAAGAGACAAAACCCACACUAACUGACAGAGAUAGACAAAAUACAGAUGGGUUAGUGAGGAGGUUAAUGUGUGAGUGGGGAAAACUUAAGGUUGAGAAUGAGCUACUUUACAGGGAAGCUGGGGGUAGGAAGCAGCUUAUACUGCCAGCAAAGUACAGGUCCUUGGUACUAAAACACCUUCAUAAUGACAUGGGUCACCUCGGUACUGAAAGAGUUAUCAACCUAGUCCGAGAUCGCUUCUACUGGCCCUUUAUGAAGAAGGACAUCGAGGCUUAUGUGACGAGACAAUGUCCCUGUAUAAAACAAAAGAAACCCACCACACAUGUCAGGGCACCCAUGGGGAGCAUCAGCUCCAGUGCACCCAUGGAGCUAGUAUCCAUUGACUUUAUGCAUUUAGAAAAGAGCAGAGGUGGUCACGAAUACAUACUUGUCGCAGUUGACCACUUUACGCGUUUCGCUCAGGCAUGGCCAACCAGAAACAAGUCAGCCAAAACUGCUGCGGAAAAACUAUUUAGUGAUUUUAUUCCUCGCUUCGGUUACCCUGCUAGGCUACAUCACGACCAAGGCCGUGAAUUUGAAAACUCACUGUUUAGGGGCCUACAGCAGCUGUCAGGUGUCAGCCACUCACGUACCACACCAUACCACCCACAGGGAAAUCCUGCCGAGCGAUUUAAUCGCACCCUGCUACAAAUGCUGAGAGCUCUGGAGGAGACGGAAAAAGAUAACUGGAAAGACUUUUUGCCCCAAGUUGUUCAUGCAUAUAAUUGCACAAAACAUGAGGCCACUGGGUUUUCCCCACAUUUCUUAAUGUUUGGACGGCACCCCCGCUUGCCUGUGGACUUCAUGUUUGGGCUCAACACCGAGAAGGACAGUGGAACACCACAUGGAUAUGUACAAAAGUGGGCAAGGAGGAUGAAAGAGGCUUAUCGUAUUGCUACCAACAACAGCCAGCAGUCGAGUGCUCGCGGAAAGAAACACUAUGACCAACAUGUGAGAGGAGUUGUCUUAGAGCCUGGAGACCGAGUGCUAGUUCGCAACCUUGGAGAAAAGGGUGGACCUGGAAAGCUCAGGUCAUACUGGGAGCAGACUGUGUACAUUGUCAAAGAACAGAUUAACGACAGCCCCAUCUACAAAGUAUAUCCUGAGAACAAUGCCCAGAAAACUAGGGUUCUCCACAGAAAUCUCCUACACCUGGUUAAUGACCUACCUGUAACCGGUGGUCGCAGAAAAGAUAAAGCGCCAAUCAGAAGCAGAGUCAAAGGUCGCCAGGUUGGUUCUAGCCAAAGUAAAAGAGACAGUGACUCAUCAGAUUCUGAGAGUGACUCCAGGAUGCGUUAUUGGCUCAGAGUACCUGUGACAACCAGAGUACAGGAACCAGCCACCCAAACUAAUCCAGCCUCAAGCCAAGUUUUCACACCCGUGGACCAAGGGAGGGACUCCCAACUGAACACUACAGAUGAAAAUGUUCCAACGGAGCAUCCACACCCAGCUGAAAAUGAACUAGUCCAAAACUGUGAAACGGACAAUGAACAAAGAGAACGAGAACUGGAGAGAGACACUGAACAGGUCGAACUUGAAAUCGAGCAGCAGGAGCAAGCACCGACUCAGGAGGGACCUCUCAGAAGGUCUACACGGGCAAGGAGACCACCUCAGACACUCGGCUACAACACUUUGGGCCAGCCUUCUUACCAUCCACAAGGGGUCAUAGGUCAUGUUGGACUGUGUGGGUUACAAGCUCCACCAUUGUGGGUAAUGCAACCUGUACAAGGACAUUUUUAUGCUCCUCAUCAGACUGUACCUUAUGCAACGGCAGUCCCUUUUACAAUGCCUUAUAGUUUUGUAUACUAAGAUGUGGACACUGAAGGAAAAGGUAAUUUGAGUGAGGUUCCUGUGAUAAUAACCAAGUUGUUAAUAUUUUGUGAACUGUCAUCACUGGCUUUGAAGUGUCGGGAGCCACCUUUUAAGUUGGGGAGAGUGUGGCGCACCUAAAAAGGAAAUGUCACCACAGUAUUUAGUUUUUUUUAUUAAUUUUGAAAUAGUUUCAGAUAAAAUUUAUUCUAUUUUCUAAAAGAAAAAUAAUAAAUUAACAAAUUUCAUUUUGUUUACAGUUAGGCAAGUUCAUUUGUUUACAUUAGUACUGCGUUCCUGAGGUGGGGACGGGAGUGGUAAUGGCCAAGUGGAACCUUUGUUUGGGGGGCGUUGCUUCCAGGUUGGUUUUGGGAUGGACUUCCGGUCUGCCCUAAAAAGCAAUCUGGAUGCUAAAGGCAGCGCUACGUUCCACUGCUGACUCCCGUCUGUUUGUCCUUUAGCCCACCCACAAGAGGUCCCCACGACCUUUACAAAGCUCCUGGAAGAAAAUAUUUGGACUCCAUAAGACUUUGCAGAGCAAGCACACCUUCGUACCUUGAUACUAAUCUUGCCAACAGCAGAUAAACUUUGCAUGACAGAAGUUCAAGGUCCAACACCACUCAUGCAUCUUUCUCCAGAUCGUAUCUCAAGGGUGGGGAGACACCUUUGGCCGGUGAACCAAGACGUUUGGAGAAGGAGUGUUCCCGACUGGAGCGGGAUGUGGAAGAAGGUUCCCGCAGGUUGGCCAUGGCCCACAACGAGAUCCGGCAUUUGAAAGAUGAACUGGAGUCUGCUCAGAAUUGGUCUCUGCUCGGAUCAGACCUCUCUGCUCGCAUGCAAAUUCUUUUCUGCUCUUUUGGAAGAAAAAGUACCGUUGCCUGGCAACCUCUCAGCCAAUAGAAUAAAAGUGUUGUACUGGG
Xiphophorus hellerii (green swordtail) is the source of this 3028-nucleotide RNA transcript. RefSeq lists it as uncharacterized. The transcript has 4 exons. Lineage: Eukaryota; Metazoa; Chordata; Actinopteri; Cyprinodontiformes; Poeciliidae. The record is from RefSeq and is a predicted model, not a curated record.